RNAcentral lists this long non-coding RNA (725 nucleotides) under Brachypodium distachyon (stiff brome). Its description in RNAcentral is "long non-coding RNA (BDIS_LNC002350)". The record is from RNAcentral. Lineage: Eukaryota; Viridiplantae; Streptophyta; Magnoliopsida; Poales; Poaceae.
UAUUUUGUUAUUUCGUCCCAUUUUAUCCUAUCCUUCAGUGUCUACUGAUUCCUUUUGUCCUUCUGUGUUUGUGACCUAUGUAAACAAUUUGUGUUUUUCUGCUGUUUAUGUAUGUAUGGGACCUGUGUAUUCUAGGAAGGUUAACUUAAUUAUGAGUUAUUCUGUGUUCAGUUAUGCACUAUGCAAGUUCUUCUGCUGAUUAUCUGUGUUUCUUGGUGUGCAGUUCAAGCUUUGCAAGGUUAGGUCUGUCCAGUUUGGGCAGAAGGGCAUUCCCUACCUGAACACCUAUGAUGGCCGUACCAUCCGCUACCCUGACCCCCUCAUCAAGGCCAACGACACCAUCAAGAUCGACCUGGAGACCAACAAGAUUGUGGACUUCAUCAAGUUCGAUGUCGGUAAUGUUGUGAUGGUUACUGGUGGGCGCAACACUGGGCGUGUUGGUGUCAUCAAGAACCGUGAAAAGCACAAGGGUACCUUUGAGACCAUCCACGUUGAGGAUGCUCAGGGCCACCAAUUUGCCACCCGUCUUGGCAACGUCUUCACCAUUGGCAAGGGCACCAAGCCAUGGGUGAGCCUCCCCAAGGGCAAGGGUAUCAAGCUCACCAUCAUUGAGGAGCAGAGGAAGAGGGAUGCCGCUGCCCAGGCUGCUGCCAAGGCCUAAAUCAGUUUAGUGCCGAGUUUAUCUGCAAGGAUAUAGAAUUAUGUUCCAAGAACUACCUCCGUUA